This 497-nucleotide ribosomal RNA is filed under the name uncultured bacterium. RNAcentral's name for it is "partial 16S ribosomal RNA". It matches the Rfam family "Bacterial small subunit ribosomal RNA", at positions 28 to 507 of the family's 1533-position model. The record is from RNAcentral.
GAUGAACGCUGGCGGCGUGCCUAAUACAUGCAAGUCGAGCGAACAGACGAGGAGCUUGCUCCUCUGACGUUAGCGGCGGACGGGUGAGUAACACGUGGAUAACCUACCUAUAAGACUGGGAUAACUUCGGGAAACCGGAGCUAAUACCGGAUAAUAUAUUGAACCGCAUGGUUCAAUAGUGAAAGACGGUUUUGCUGUCACUUCUAGAUGGAUCCGCGCCGCAUUAGCUAGUUGGUAAGGUAACGGCUUACCAAGGCAACGAUGCGUAGCCGACCUGAGAGGGUGAUCGGCCACACUGGAACUGAGACACGGUCCAGACGCCUACGGGAGGCAGCAGUAGGGAAUCGUCCGCAAUGGGCGAAAGCCUGACGGAGCAACGCCGCGUGAGUGAUGAAGGUCUUCGGAUCGUAAAACUCUGUUAUUAGGGAAGAACAAAUGUGUAAGUAACUAUGCACGUCUUGACGGUACCUAAUCAGAAAGCCACGGCUAACUACGUG